AUACAAUUCAAGGUUCUAUCCAUC
RNAcentral lists this non-coding RNA (24 nucleotides) under Arabidopsis thaliana (thale cress). The record is from RNAcentral. Lineage: Eukaryota; Viridiplantae; Streptophyta; Magnoliopsida; Brassicales; Brassicaceae.